This 533-nucleotide ribosomal RNA is filed under the name uncultured bacterium. RNAcentral describes it as "bacterial SSU rRNA". It matches the Rfam family "Bacterial small subunit ribosomal RNA", at positions 772 to 1302 of the family's 1533-position model. The record is from RNAcentral.
ACUCAAUAGAUACCCAGGUAGUCCUGGCAGUAAACGGUGCACGUUUGGUGUGGGCGCAAUCGACCGCGUCCGCGCCGGAGCUAACGCGUUAAACGUGCCGCCUGGGAAGUACGGUCGCAAGAUUAAAACUCAAAGAAAUUGACGGGGACCCGCACAAGCGGUGGAGUAUGUGGCUUAAAUUUGAUGCAACGCGAAGAACCUUACCUGGUCUUGACAUGCAUUGUGUCUACGGUGAAAGCCGUAUAGGGUAGCAAUACCCGCUUUGCACAGGUGCUGCAUGGCUGUCGUCAGCUCGUGUCGUGAGAUGUUGGGUUAAGUCCCGCAACGAGCGCAACCCUGUGAUUUGUUGCCACCCGGUUUACCGGAGCACUCGAAUCAGACUGCCUCGAUCAACGAGGAGGAAGGUGGGGAUGACGUCAAGUCCGUAUGGCCCUUACGACCAGGGCUGCACACGUACUACAAUGCCCAGUACAAUGUGAACCGAGACCGCGAGGUGGAGGAAAUCAAUAAAACUGGGCUCAGUUCAGAUUGGA